UGGCUGGUGUUCCCAAAUGAUUCCACGUG
Molecule: non-coding RNA, 29 nt
Filed under: Mus musculus (house mouse)
Lineage: Eukaryota; Metazoa; Chordata; Mammalia; Rodentia; Muridae
Source: RNAcentral